Xyrichtys novacula (pearly razorfish) is the source of this 5732-nucleotide non-coding RNA. Lineage: Eukaryota; Metazoa; Chordata; Actinopteri; Labriformes; Labridae. The record is from the annotation of a GenBank genome assembly.
CAGUUAAAAGUCCUGUUGGGGUCCACAUGGAUCAGAGAUUGACCAUCGGAUUGUACUGUGUUCCUGAUAAAUCCAUAACCAGGAAGUAUUUCUGGUUUACACAAACUGAUACACAGUCGGGAGUUCACAUACAGUGUUUUAAUUUUAAAUUUACCAGAUGACGUGCAGAUUUUAGUGCUUGACAUCCUAUCUAGAACAAUCUUCUCUGUGAAGAGUGACACCUGUUGGAAGCGUAGAGCAGAGAAAAUAGACUUGGGGCGUGUCUUUAGCAGAGGUUAUACGCUACUGAGACGAAGCUGCAACAGCACUGAUACAUGUACUGUGUGGAUUGCUGCAUUGAUAAGAAUGGGAAUCUAUUUGCUGCAUGACAUGCAACGCUGCUCAACACGGAUCCUGUAUUUUUUUCAGCUUUAGGCCUCUAAAGACAUCACAUUUUUCAGUAACUCAAAACUAAAAGUGAAGUAAAGCUCUCCACCAAUUGAAAUUGGAUCCAAUGAUCAGGAACAAUGAUGACAGCAGCACAAAAAUCCUUCUCUUUUAGGUUUGUCUUAAGUGGGCUCAAAGAGCAGUCUGAUCUGAACUGGUCAGCCAGAGGCAAAUAUAUAAAAAGUAAUAUCCCUGUGUUAUACCACCAGAAACCACCAGCUGAUAAAGGACUCAGUCUAGGAAUGGCCAUGAAGCUGACUCUUCUCUUACACUGUGAGAAAGUCACUGUGUCUGUACUUGAAGGUCCAAUAUUUAACACAACUUGCUGUCAAUAACAGUGAUGGAGCACUGCUCUACUUCUGGCCUAAAAAAACAAUAAUAAUAAUAUAAUAAAAUAAAUCAAUAAAUAAAAUAAAAUAAAAUAAAAUAUCAUUUUUUUAUCUUCACACCAUUUUCAUUUCUAUGUAGAGUUAAAUGAUUUGCAACCCACUGAAAUCUGUUUUUAAUAACCUUUGACACAAUUCUAUCAGAACAGGGGUUGUAUCUAAGAGCUUGCUUGCUGAAAGGUGCUCAGACCAUUUCCUCCAUGACUCUCUGAGGAAGUGAAAGAAGAAACUUCUAAUGAACAGACUGAAGGCAGCGGCAGAGCUGGUGGAGACCACAGAGCUGAGUCUGUUGCUGCAGAGAGAUUGUCUGCUUUGCUCGACUGGGUGUUGUAUCUCUGCAAGACAAGGGGUCGCUUCUCUCCCUCUCCCUCUGUCUCCUUCAGUCUGCUGUGGCUCUUUUAGUACUUAGAGCUGCUGUCUUUGUCUUCCCCUCCUCUCCUCUGCUGGUUUGGGUGGGUCUAAUGCUCUGUCCCUUGUCAGCCCCCCGUCCUUCUGUUUUCUCCUCUCCUCCUUUCAUUCCCUCUCUUGUCUUUGUCCCUUCAUCAGCAUAUUUAAGUCUGUUGCUGCUUCUGGCUCUGUCUGUAAUUUUAUAUGUAUCUACAUGUUUUAUGACUCAAGACUUUUUCACGUAUAUGAAUGUGUCCUGUCGUGCAAACACACACACAUCCACAGAUAAGGAUGGACUGCAUGUGUGACACUGUUUAUGUGGAGAGGUGAGAUACUGCUUCACAGAUGGAGCAACUGCUGCACAGCUCAACUGUAUUGGACAUCCAGUAUACUCAGCAGCAGGAGCAUGCGCACACACGCACGCACGCACGCAUGCACGCACACACAUCUACACACAGCACUGCAGAUGAGAGGAAAGGGCUGUUUCUUGAUCCGUGUAUUGUUUCAAAGAUUGCCAAAGAGCCUUCUGAACAGAGUCACUUUCAUUUCACUGGGAGAGAGGAGGUUUGGGCGAGUUACGUUUCAUUGGAUCAGGUCUUAAUUGGUUUGAUUUUUUAGGUACCUAAACCUCUUUGUUCCCAUCCGAGUGUUCUUACAUGAGAGCAGAACCACAGAGGAGAGGAAAGUUACAAAGUGCUGUGUUUUACAGGGUUUUAUCCUACCUUGCAAAGACAAAGAUCAGGAAUACUCAAACAGUGAAGCUGACGGUAUUAUGUUUCAAAGCUGGGUGCUGAAGCACAGAUUAGGUAUGGAAGACUGUAUUUAUUCCACACGCUGUACAGCAGUGGACAAGAGUGGGAAAACUACAAAAGUCAAGAACAAAUGUAACACUGCAAAUAUGGCAAAACUAAAAAAGGCAAAAUGCUGCAUAACCAGACACAAAAAAAUGGAAGGGCUCCAGACCUUUGAGGGCACCAAGUGGAACAGAAUGAACUUGCUUACAUGGCAACAGUGUUUCAGUUUUUGAGUCCCUAAGAACCCAUCCUUGAGUCGAGCACUUAUGACCUGGAUUCAUACCUGACUGCAUUAUUACACGGCAGAUGGAGAGGGAGACCCAAGACUAAGAAAGAAGCUCAAACUUUAACAGGCAUCUGCUCAAGGUGUACUUAGAAAACUGAGUGUAAUGUGUCAGUCAGCCCAUUUGGCAGAGCUAAUUUAGGUAGCUAAUUCAAAUUUUGUUUUAAGAAAACAUAAGAUACUGUUUUAUUAGUCUCACAGGAGGGAAAUUCUAGAUUUACAGCAGUGAUACAUUCAAAAGAGAAAUGAAAGGAUGAAAAACUUCAGAGUUAAAAAUUAGAUCUGUAUAAGUGUUAUUUACAGCUGUUUUAGGACUAAUGUACCUUUUAAUUUUAGUCACAUUUUUGUCAUUUUUGCUCUUUAUUAUUUAAGUUUUGGAUGACAAAAGGUCAGUCUAUAAAUUGACAAAAAGUCAAAACAUUCAAAACAAUUAGUGUCAAGGUUGAGCUAGUAUUUAAACCACAGACUGUGUACGGAGUUGACGCAGUCUGCCUACUUGCUGGGUGAAGCCACACCCUCUGGUAAUGGGCUGCAGUAUUCAGCAAUCCCUAUGAGGCUAUGGACAAACUUUAGAAAUUGAUUACACAGAAUAUAAUUUUUUCUCCCCCAUACUUGUGGUUGUGAUCAUGUAGUUACUGUAAGACUGGUUUGUGCUCAAGUCCUCUUUUUUCUGUACACCUCCAUUUUCAAAAGUUAUUGGGGGGUUCAUGUUCUAUGAUUGACACUUGAUACAGUCUAUGGGCGUACGAAGAUUGCAUAGCUCACCUGGGGAUAUGCUGUUUGAGCAGAGCGUCAUUACAGUGACUCUCCCGCCGAAUGUGUACAACACUACUGUGCAAGUGGAGGUUCCAGGAAGUGGAGAAAAUCCUGGAAAUACCAAGAGCAAUUUGGCUUCAAAUUCUUAUGACAGAAGGCGGAACCAAGUUGUAUAUAGUAUAUACAGUCUAGUAUUUAAACCUUCAGUUUUGCUCUUUAACACUUUACUUGAAUAAUAUCUGGAUUUCUUACUUUCGUUGAAUGAUGAAGUCCAGACCCUCAACAUUGCAAUACUUCUGUUGUGUCCCAGCUGAUUUAUGAGGAUAAUAUAUAGGAGUGGUCCUUACUCCAAAUCAAAAAUUCUUUCUGUAUCCACUAUAUAUACUGUAUAUUUACACAGAACUGUUACUGGUAAUAGUGGCAAGACAUGGCAAACAUAUACAAUUAAACUGAUAUCACUCCAGUGGUUGGUAGUAUUUAUGUCUCUGUUCACUAAACAUUUUCGGCAAAGUCAAUACAGUAGUGUUUUUUUGCUAGCAUUGAUAUUGUAUACAGAUACUAAAAGCCGCACCUAAUCUUGAAGAUUAUAAGUUUAAUUGAUUUCAUCUUUAUUCAGAUCUGAUAAAAAGAAACUUAUGGUGAAAUCUUUUUUUGAUUGAGAUUUAAAUAACCUUAAAACCGGCAGGCUGAGGGUUUUCAAUGUAAUAAAUAACUGAUAAAAUUUCACCGAACUGACAAUACAAUCAAUCUUGUGUAUUUGAGCGGUACAGAGAAUAUCUAAUAAACAUCCUAACAUCACAUUAGUUUCCUGGUCUGGCCAGACUUGUCACUACCAGAUUUUAUUUCCAGUCACUUGGGGAAGACAAAGCAGAAAAUAUGCUUUGCGUCAUGUGUUUAUUAUGUGUUUAGUGGAGUUCCCCCCACGGUAAAGCCCUCCAUAUCAAUCCCAAUUUUGGGCCCAUUUGUCUCGGGAUGGUCCAGGUUAACAGGCGCUGAGCGACACAGAGGAGGGAUGUUGCAUUAUUGCAUUAUUUUAGCCCGCAAAGCACAGCUGAGCCAUAAUUUACCAGAGUCUAAUCCACAGCUGUAUUGAGGAUUUAGAGGUGAGCAUGGGGUAACAUACAGAUGGAGCAACACCUACAACACACACAAACCUGCAGACUGACACAAACUGAGUUCAACACAGUUCAUAAAACACGCAAAUGAUAAACAUGCACUUCUAAACCUCUGGGAUCAGCUCUGACAGGGCUCCAUUUGUGGUUUUACAGAUGCACUGUAUGUGUUUCCUAUCUUUAUUGGGUGUAUUUAUCUGUGACACCAAGUCCUGCUAAAACAUAGGCUGAUAUAUGAAGUCAUAAUGUAUCAGCACCCUCAGCUCCCUUCAUGCAAUUGCUGAUGUCGAGAUGAAAAAUUCUAAGCGACGGUGUUAUAUAGCUCUAUUUACACAGUGUAAGAUGAUGUUUUUUCUCCAUAAAGUGUGACUGCCAGAUUGUAUAUGAUAAAAUGAGCACACUAUUUGAGGCAUAUACUGUGCAUCCAGGAAGUAUUCAUACCACUUCACUUUUUCUAUGUUUUGUUAUGUUACAGCCUUAUUCCAAAAUUGAUUAAAUUCCUUUUUUCCCUCAAAAAUUCUACACAAAAUACCCCCUAAUGACAAAGCGAAAAACUGUUUUUAGAACAUUUUGCAAAUUUAUUAAAAAUAAGACACUCAAAUGUUGCAUAUACAAAAAUAUUCACACCCUUUGCUAUAAAACUCAAACUUGAGCUCAGGUGCAUCCUGUUUCCACUGAUCAGCCUUGAAAUGUUCCUCUAACUUGAUUGCAGUCCACCUGUGGCAAAUUCAGCUGAUUGGACAUGAUUUGAAAAGCCACACCUGUCUAUAUAAGAUCCCACAGCUGACAGAGCACAUCAGAGCACAAACCAAGCCAUGAAGUCGAAAGAAUUGUCUGUAGACCUCGGAAACAGGGUUGUAUCUGCGCACAGAUCUGGGGAAGGUUACAGAAAAAUAUCUGCUGCAUUGAAGAUCCCAAAAAGCACAGUGGUCUCCAUCAUUGAGAAAUGAAAGACGUUUGGAACCACCAGGACUCUUCCUAGAGCUGGCUGCCCAGCCAAAAUGAGCAAGCGGGGGAGAAGGCCCUUGGUCAGGGAGGUGACCAAGAACCCGAUGGUCACUCUGACACCUGAAGGACUCACAGACCAGGAGAAACUAAAUUCUCUGGUCUGAUGAAACGAAGAUUGAACUCUUUGGCCUGAAUGCCAAGCGUCAUGUCUGGAGGCACCGCUCACCACCUCGCCAAUCCCAUCCCUACAGUGAAGCAUGGUGGUGGCAGCAUCAUGCUGUGGGGAUGUUUUUCAGCGGCAGGAACUGGGAGACUUGACAGGAUCGAGGGAAAAAUGAAUGCAGCUAAGUACAUCCAGAUCCUUGAUGAAAACCUGCUCCAGAGCGCUCGAGACCUUCGACUGGGGCGACACAUCAUCUUCCAUCAUGACAAUGACCCUAAGCACACGGCCAAGAGGACAAAGGAGUGGCUUCAGGACAAGUCUCUGAAUGUCCUUGAGUGGCCUAGCCAGAGCCCAGACUUGAACCCGAUUGAACAUCUUUGGAAAGACCUGAAAGUAGCUGUGCACCAACGCUGCCCAUCCAACCUCACUGAGCUUGAGAGGAUGUGCAAGGAAGAAUGGGAAAAACUCCACAAAUCC